RNAcentral lists this long non-coding RNA (800 nucleotides) under Cricetulus griseus (Chinese hamster). RNAcentral's name for it is "lncRNA (ENSCGRG00015033835.1)". The record is from RNAcentral. Lineage: Eukaryota; Metazoa; Chordata; Mammalia; Rodentia; Cricetidae.
GUAAUCCUCCUCCUCGCUGCAGCGCUGUGUGCACUCUCAUUAGAGCAGGGUGGCUUUUCUCUGCGCACUCGCUCGGCUCCCGCUGGCAAAACAACGCCUUCCCCGGCCGGGCCCUGGGCCAGGGAAGUCGGAGAGGGCCGGACGGGGGCGGGGUAAGGCUGGGACAGCCACGCAGGUUAGCUCCGCCGCCCGACCCCGGGCAUCCAGAAGAUGGGGAGGACCCCUUGGCCCUCCCCCACGCGCAGUGGCAAAGCCGGAGCUACCUGUUUAGUUUCAACACGUCGGCUCGAUUGGUGAAACAUAAACCUAGACCAGUAACUAAAAGAAGAAAACUGCCUUUGCAAGCUUGUGCAGGAUGCAGAAUAAAUCCUCAUCAUGCAUCCCUGGUUUUAUUCAGCUUAAUUACACUAGAAAUCCUGCCCCCCACGAAAAAGCCUGGAACCCUGCAGUAGAGGUGCGACUUUUCCUGGGGAUCCUCGCCAUUGGAGAGGGGUUGUUGGUGGAAGGGAGGUGGGUUUUAAAUGUCACUUCCAAAUGAAAACGCUUUCCUUCAGCUUUUUUCUUUUUUGAUGCAGUUUCGAAAGGAGCAUUUUUUCGAGAUAAGAAGUGACCGAUCAAAAUCGCUGAGGGGAGGUUGUAAGCAGCCGCUUUGCCCCAGCUUAGCCUUAUCUUAUCUUUCACACUUGCAUGGCGGAAAAAAAUUGGCUUAUCUUUAUCCCCACCCCCUUCUCGCCUUAAUUGCUAAAAAACAUUGGUGUGUUAAACGGGCAGGAAGGAGGUCUCUGGAUUGUCAGUAGAAC